This 434-nucleotide ribosomal RNA is filed under the name uncultured Lachnospiraceae bacterium. RNAcentral's name for it is "bacterial SSU rRNA". It matches the Rfam family "Bacterial small subunit ribosomal RNA", at positions 341 to 792 of the family's 1533-position model. The record is from RNAcentral. Lineage: Bacteria; Bacillati; Bacillota; Clostridia; Lachnospirales; Lachnospiraceae.
ACGGGAGGCAGCAGUGGGGAAUAUUGCACAAUGGGGGAAACCCUGAUGCAGCAACGCCGCGUGAGUGAAGAAGUAUUUCGGUAUGUAAAGCUCUAUCAGCAGGGAAGAUAAUGACGGUACCUGACUAAGAAGCUCCGGCUAAAUACGUGCCAGCAGCCGCGGUAAUACGUAUGGAGCAAGCGUUAUCCGGAUUUACUGGGUGUAAAGGGUGCGUAGGUGGCAGGGCAAGUCAGAUGUGAAAGACCGGGGCUCAACUCCGGGGCUGCAUUUGAAACUGUCUUGCUGGAGUGCAGGAGGGGCAAGCGGAAUUCCUAGUGUAGCGGUGAAAUGCGUAGAUAUUAGGAGGAACACCGGUGGCGAAGGCGGCUUGCUGGACUGAUACUGACACUGAGGCACGAAAGCGUGGGGAGCAAACAGGAUUAGAUACCCUGGUA